This is a long non-coding RNA of Ostrinia nubilalis (European corn borer), 648 nucleotides long. RefSeq lists it as uncharacterized. NCBI's taxonomy places the organism in Eukaryota, Metazoa, Arthropoda, Insecta, Lepidoptera, Crambidae. The transcript is spliced from 2 exons. The record is from RefSeq and is a predicted model, not a curated record.
AAAAAACACUUUUCAAAUAAAAUUUCUUACAUACUUUCGACAAACUUCUUUGUUUAAAAUUUAUAAUGGAUAACAAAAGAGUAGAUAAGUUUGAUGUAAAUGAUCCUAACUUUUACAAUAAUUUGCAAGAUGAAAUUGAAACUGACUUGGCUCGCUUAAAAAAAAGUGUGGAGGUGGUGCGAAAUUUACGAAUGGUCGCGGCAGAAAUGGAAGUGGAAACAGCAUCAUUGUACCACGCGGAACUGUGGCGUGAUGUUGAAGAAUUAAAGGCGCUCAACGAAUCAGAAACCAGUCUUAAACCAGUGCCUCCCGAAAAUGUUUAAAAAAACAUUUGUAGCAGCGCUUGUACCUAUUUAAUUUUAAAACUAAUAAGUACUUAACGAGACCGAGGUAAAAAUAAGAACUUCAUAGAAGUAUAAAAUUACUCGUAGAUACAUAGAUCCUGCAACAUUUUGCUAACGAAAUUUAAAGUAUGUAACUAUUUGUCGUAAGUUAGGUACCAGAUUUUCAAAGUUUCAUCUUUAAUUAUUGCAUUUAUGUUUAUUAACGUAUGUAUUAAAUAUUUCGUUCUCAUAUUAUGUACCUAUUAGUAAAGUUAGUUAUGAAAUACAGUUGGGUUGUCCUAAAUUAGAGGUAUUCUCACUCUUG